This 70-nucleotide transfer RNA is filed under the name Bathyraja aleutica (Aleutian skate). RNAcentral describes it as "tRNA-Trp". It matches the Rfam family "tRNA". From Rfam's summary of the family: Transfer RNA (tRNA) molecules are approximately 80 nucleotides in length. Their secondary structure includes four short double-helical elements and three loops (D, anti-codon, and T loops). The record is from RNAcentral. Lineage: Eukaryota; Metazoa; Chordata; Chondrichthyes; Rajiformes; Arhynchobatidae.
AGAAAUUUAGGUUAAUUAAGACCAAAAGCCUUCAAAGCUUUUAGUAAGAGUUUAAAUCUCUUAACUUCUG